AAAGUAAUGAGAAGCACAGUGGAGACAAGUUUCUGAAGGAUGGAAGAGGCUGGAGGCUGUCUGGUGGGAGAAGGUUCCCAGACAUGUGAGAGACCCAGCAACAGAUUCUCAUCGUAAAUCUCUGACUCAUCACUUCCAGCCAGAUUGCCAUGCCUAAACCACUUUCUUUGAAGUUUAUGGAAGCACCACUGCAUUUAUGCCAGAAGGUGAAAGUUCAGAACAGAUGAAGAAACUGAAGGUAAAGAGAAGUAUUAUGUGUGCAAUGGCAUACAACCAUCUGAAAUGGACAAAUAGAUUGUGUUCCUAUGAUCUUCCAUAAUACUAUGUGACUUCUCUGACAUAUGGAGGAUUUUGAGCCUGGGAAUGAGGCAUUGUUUGUAAGCUACUAGCAGUAACAGUGUUUUUUGGGAACAAGCACAGCCUGAGAAAAAAGAACAAGCCAGAUAUGAGAAGGAAUUCUCAAAAAUCGAUUACUGAGAAGAGCCUUCUCUGACCACACUCUGUAAAAUAAAUCUACUCAUCUGACAAAGGGCUAAUAUCCAGAACCUACAAAGAACUCAAACAAAUUUACAAGAAAAAAACAAACAACCCCA
RNAcentral lists this long non-coding RNA (593 nucleotides) under Papio anubis (olive baboon). Its description in RNAcentral is "lncRNA (ENSPANG00000040370.1)". Lineage: Eukaryota; Metazoa; Chordata; Mammalia; Primates; Cercopithecidae. The record is from RNAcentral.